UGAGCGAGUCCUCUGGGUCCACCUCCCACCCGUGUUUAUCGUACCUUGUUGCUUCGGCGGGCCCGCCUCACGGCCGCCGGGGGGCAUCCGCCCCCGGGCCCGCGCCCGCCGAAGACACACAAACGAACUCUUGUCUGAAGAUUGCAGUCUGAGUACUUGACUAAAUCAGUUAAAACUUUCAACAACGGAUCUCUUGGUUCCGGCAUCGAUGAAGAACGCAGCGAAAUGCGAUAAGUAAUGUGAAUUGCAGAAUUCAGUGAAUCAUCGAGUCUUUGAACGCACAUUGCGCCCCCUGGUAUUCCGGGGGGCAUGCCUGUCCGAGCGUCAUUGCUGCCCUCAAGCACGGCUUGUGUGUUGGGCUCUCGCCCCCCGCUUCCGGGGGGCGGGCCCGAAAGGCAGCGGCGGCACCGCGUCCGGUCCUCGAGCGUAUGGGGCUUCGUCACCCGCUCUGUAGGCCCGGCCGGCGCCCGCCGGCGAACACCAUCAAUCUUAACCAGGUUGACCUCGGAUCAGGUAGGGAUACCCGCUGAACUUAAGCAUAUCCAAUAAGCCGGAGGAA
RNAcentral lists this ribosomal RNA (559 nucleotides) under Penicillium oxalicum. RNAcentral describes it as "eukaryotic LSU rRNA". The stretch from base 174 to 327 matches the Rfam family "5.8S ribosomal RNA". The record is from RNAcentral. Lineage: Eukaryota; Fungi; Ascomycota; Eurotiomycetes; Eurotiales; Aspergillaceae.